GUGGUGGGCUGGUAGCUGGAGCCACAAAAUUAAGCUUUAAUGAAGCCAGAGUGCUGCUGUCUGCAGAUGUCUGAUCUCUUCUGCCCUCGUGUGGUUAUUAUCAACGUGCGUAUAUACAGCUCACUAAGAAGAGAUGCACGCACCUCCGGAGUCCCGUGGGCAAAUACCUUUUCAGUUCAGAACUCUGUGAGAUGUAUGAAACAUAACGCUUCUCCACCAGGCUGCAGUCUGCAUAAUCCCAGGGACCAUUCCUGCUUCCAGAGCUGCUGCUUUUUUAUUGAUGACUGUGGGGAUGCGAUACGAAUGUGCUCUGUUCAGCUUAGCAUAUUUAAUCCUAUCUCCCUGUGAUUAUGCUGCUGCAAAAAUUCGUCAAACAUCAGAUGUAUACAGUAAGGACCCUUCAAACACAGGAACUUUUGCCUUUAGAAAUCCUGACUCAAAGAAAUCCUGCAAGUUCAUCGUCCUCUAGCAGGACAUAAGAAGGAUAAUAACAUCAAAUGUUAUACAUCAAAAAAUUAUUUUAAACUCUCCAUCCCUCAAGAAUUCCUAUACAAUGGCAUUCAAGCUGCUAUAGUUUUCCCCAUAACUAGCAGGAUGAAAAGCUGAUCCAUCCUGUGGAUAAUGCUGAAGGAGUGUUAUAUGACAUUAGUGCAUUGGGCCUUUUAAAUCCUGUGUUUGAGGAGUCAGUGUGUGGGGGUUUCACCCUCACAUAAACAUUAGUACUCUGGGCAAGUGCAUAUUUUGUCUUUCUAUUGAAAAUAACAAAAGAGGAAAAGGUAAACUUAUGUCCUUUCAUUAAACAAAGGAUAAUAUAAUGCCUUAGAAAUAGGCUACAGAAGUUUUGUGGGUUUUUUUUUUCCACCCUGAAUGUGUCCUAAGUUUGUAAAUAGUUAAUAUUUUCUUUAACACCAGUUAAUCUAUAAAUAUCUUUUUUACAUCUGGAUAACAGCAGGCUUAAUACAUCAGUGUGUCAAACAGUGCAAGUUUCGCUUUGAUUCUCCCACUUUAAGAUAAGCCACCAUGUGUGCCAGACAGCUGUUUUUUCUCAUAGCUUCCCACAUAACUAAAUCUUCUGCAUAGUUACAAAGCAAAAAAUGACACCAGAAUCACAGAGAUAUAUGUGCAUUACUCAGGACGAAAUGGCUUCUGCUUACUUGCUUCAGCCAAGUAUAAACCAUGAAAAAGUACGCUGACCUUGCUUCUACAGGCAAAUUUCUUGUUGGAGUGUUUUGUUCCAAUAGUAAACACUCCGUGCCCAGAUUUUUCCACCUUUGCUGCAUGUCUGAAGUAAACAGCAGAAAUUAUGCAACUUUUAUACAAGGUGGUAAGUACAAUUGGCAUUCAUAUCUCCCUCCCUUUUAGAGGCUGCUUUCCACAGCCUGAAUUGCUCAAUAUAAUUAAUACACAUUUUAAUGCUAACUAAUUGGUCACAAAAUUCUCGUGGUAAGUAGCAGAGUAUCUGUUCUUACAUAUCUGCAAAGGUUUAUGCAUUAUUGUUAUGAAGGUUAACUUUUUAACAUCCCUUAGAAUUACACAGGUAAAUUAUUACUAGCUUACAAAUAUUAAGGAUGAGGAGAUUCUGAAGCUUGUGUGCUUCCCAUUUAGGCCUUUCAGAGCCCCAAAAUUAUGUGGCUGAUGUCAGAAGAUGAUUUGAGAGAGCCAGAGGCUGCUCUGCACAGUCAAUGGGAAGAGCCAAGCCCUUCUAAAGGCCAAUGUUCAGUGACCGAGGAGAAUAAGGGCCCUCAAAGGGUGUUCCACAAAUGUGGCUUUGAGGUGUAUAUGCUUGAAAGGAAUUGGGAGGAAAGAGGUAUAGAGAGUGCAAAGACUGCUUCAGCAGGGGAAGGGGAAGUGGCAAAAGAUUUGGCUUUUGGGAGGCCUAGGAGUGUGUAGAAGAAAUAAGAAUUGCUUUUGACAAUGCAAAAAUAAGUUUAUUAGUAUGAGUCUUGUCUUGUAAUUUAACUUGGAUGACCAGAAACUUGGGAAGAUUUUUGUAGAAGCACAUGAUUUUGAAAAGAUGUUAUCAAAAGCCUAAAGGUUUUGUAAACUCAUCAAAACCUACACAAUGCUAGAAAUCCAGUAAAACGGAAAGGAAAAGCAAAACUCUGUACCUCACAAUAUAUACAAAUACAGACAAGAAGUACUAUUAUAUAUAUUUUUUUUAAGAACUUUCACCAAACUGGUAAUUUUUACAUCUGUUCAUCCUCUUGUUCUGCCAAAUAAGUGGAAUGUUUAAGAGGGAUGAUGACUUCUGCCAAGGUUUGCUUAGCAAAAGUGCUUUGCCUGUUUUAGAAAUAAAUGAUGCUCAGUCUACUGCA
RNAcentral lists this long non-coding RNA (2315 nucleotides) under Phasianus colchicus (ring-necked pheasant). RNAcentral describes it as "lncRNA (ENSPCLG00000000997.1)". The record is from RNAcentral. Lineage: Eukaryota; Metazoa; Chordata; Aves; Galliformes; Phasianidae.